RNAcentral lists this ribosomal RNA (403 nucleotides) under bacterium. RNAcentral's name for it is "partial 16S ribosomal RNA". It matches the Rfam family "Bacterial small subunit ribosomal RNA", at positions 355 to 776 of the family's 1533-position model. The record is from RNAcentral.
UGGGGAAUAUUGCACAAUGGAGGGAACUCUGAUGCAGCGACGCCGCGUGAACGAAGAAGGCUUUCGAGUCGUAAAGUUCUUUUAUAUGGGAAGAUAAUGACGGUACCAUAAGAAAAAGCCCCGGCUAACUACGUGCCAGCAGCCGCGGUAAUACGUAGGGGGCUAGCGUUGUCCGGAAUCACUGGGCGUAAAGGGUUCGCAGGCGGAAAUGCAAGUCAGGUGUAAAAGGCAGUAGCUUAACUACUGUAAGCAUUUGAAACUGCAUAUCUUGAGAAGAGUAGAGGUAAGUGGAAUUUUUAGUGUAGCGGUGAAAUGCGUAGAUAUUAAAAAGAAUACCGGUGGCGAAGGCGGCUUACUGGGCUCAUUCUGACGCUGAGGAACGAAAGCGUGGGUAGCAAACAGA